CAGCCGCCGCGGUAAAACAGAGGAUGCAAGCGUUAUCCGGAAUGAUUGGGCGUAAAGCGUCUGUAGGUGGCUUUUCAAGUCCGCCGUCAAAUCCCAGGGCUCAACCCUGGACAGGCGGUGGAAACUACCAAGCUGGAGCACGGUAGGGGCAGAGGGAAUUUCCGGUGGAGCGGUGAAAUGCGUUGAGAUCGGAAAGAACACCAACAGCGAAAGCACUCUGCUGGGCCGACACUGACACUGAGAGACGAAAGCUAGGGGAGCAAAUGGGAUUAGAUACCCCCGUAGUCCCUGUCUCUUAUAC
RNAcentral lists this ribosomal RNA (301 nucleotides) under uncultured bacterium. RNAcentral describes it as "partial 16S ribosomal RNA". It matches the Rfam family "Bacterial small subunit ribosomal RNA", at positions 509 to 807 of the family's 1533-position model. The record is from RNAcentral.